AUAUUUACCUGGCAGAAAAAUACACUAUGAUCAUGAAAGUGGUUUUUUCAGGGCGAGGUUUUAUUUAUUGCGCUCCUGUUGUGUUCACCUUUGCUAUUUCCCCAAAUGUGGUGAAGUUCCACUGCUUUAUUUGUGGUAGUGGGGGACUGCGUUCGCGCUUUUUCCUC
This is a small nuclear RNA of Bubalus bubalis (water buffalo), 167 nucleotides long. RefSeq annotates it as U1 spliceosomal RNA. NCBI's taxonomy places the organism in Eukaryota, Metazoa, Chordata, Mammalia, Artiodactyla, Bovidae. The record is from RefSeq and is a predicted model, not a curated record. The transcript has a single exon.